This 301-nucleotide ribosomal RNA is filed under the name uncultured bacterium. Its description in RNAcentral is "partial 16S ribosomal RNA". It matches the Rfam family "Bacterial small subunit ribosomal RNA", at positions 509 to 807 of the family's 1533-position model. The record is from RNAcentral.
CAGUCGCCGCGGUAAUACGGAGGGUGCAAGCGUUAAUCGGAAUUACUGGGCGUAAAGCGCACGCAGGCGGUUUGUUGAGUCAGAUGUGAAAUCCCCGAGCUUAACUUGGGAACUGCAUUUGAAACUGGCAAGCUAGAGUCUUGUAGAGGGGGGUAGAAUUCCAGGUGUAGCGGUGAAAUGCGUAGAGAUCUGGAGGAAUACCGGUGGCGAAGGCGGCCCCCUGGACAAAGACUGACGCUCAGGUGCGAAAGCGUGGGGAGCAAACAGGAUUAGAUACCCGUGUAGUCCCUGUCUCUUAUAC